GGAAAGGCGCGCGAUACAGGGUGACAGCCCCGUACACAAAAAUGCACAUGCUGUGAGCUCGAUGAGUAGGGCGGGACACGUGGUAUCCUGUCUGAAUAUGGGGGGACCAUCCUCCAAGGCUAAAUACUCCUGACUGACCGAUAGUGAACCAGUACCGUGAGGGAAAGGCGAAAAGAACCCCGGCGAGGGGAGUGAAAAAGAACCUGAAACCGUGUACGUACAAGCAGUGGGAGCACAGAGCAAUCUGUGUGACUGCGUACCUUUUGUAUAAUGGGUCAGCGACUUAUAUUCUGUAGCAAGGUUAACCGAAUAGGGGAGCCGAAGGGAAACCGAGUCUUAACUGGGCGUUAAGUUGCAGGGUAUAGACCCGAAACCCGGUGAUCUAGCCAUGGGCAGGUUGAAGGUUGGGUAACACUAACUGGAGGACCGAACCGACUAAUGUUGAAAAAUUAGCGGAUGACUUGUGGCUGGGGGUGAAAGGCCAAUCAAACCGGGAGAUAGCUGGUUCUCCCCGAAAGCUAUUUAGGUAGCGCCUCGUGAAUUCAUCUCCGGGGGUAGAGCACUGUUUCGGCAAGGGGGUCAUCCCGACUUACCAACCCGAUGCAAACUGCGAAUACCGGAGAAUGUUAUCACGGGAGACACACGGCGGGUGCUAACGUCCGUCGUGAAGAGGGAAACAACCCAGACCGCCAGCUAAGGUCCCAAAGUCAUGGUUAAGUGGGAAACGAUGUGGGAAGGCCCAGACAGCCAGGAUGUUGGCUUAGAAGCAGCCAUCAUUUAAAGAAAGCGUAAUAGCUCACUGGUCGAGUCGGCCUGCGCGGAAGAUGUAACGGGGCUAAACCAUGCAC
Molecule: ribosomal RNA, 848 nt
Filed under: Escherichia coli
Lineage: Bacteria; Pseudomonadati; Pseudomonadota; Gammaproteobacteria; Enterobacterales; Enterobacteriaceae
Description: partial 23S ribosomal RNA
Rfam family: Bacterial large subunit ribosomal RNA
Source: RNAcentral